RNAcentral lists this ribosomal RNA (21 nucleotides) under uncultured fungus. Its description in RNAcentral is "partial 28S ribosomal RNA". The record is from RNAcentral. Lineage: Eukaryota; Fungi.
UUGACCUCAGAUCAGGUAGGA